This 6235-nucleotide long non-coding RNA is filed under the name Canis lupus familiaris (dog). RNAcentral's name for it is "lncRNA (ENSCAFG00000058463.1)". The record is from RNAcentral. Lineage: Eukaryota; Metazoa; Chordata; Mammalia; Carnivora; Canidae.
UUUUUUUUUUUUUUUUUUAAGAUUUUAUUUAUUCACGAGACACAGAGAGAGAGAGGCAGAGACACAGACAGAGGAGAAGCAGGCUCCACGCAGGAGCCCGAUGUGGGACUCGAUCCGGGGUCUCCAGGAUCACGCCCCGGGCUGAAGGCAGGCUCCAAACCGCUGAGCCACCCAGGGAUCCCUUACAUGUGCUUUAUAUGUGGCCUGAGGUUAAAUGUACCCCUAUUCCCUAAGAAGUAAAAGAACAGCUAUAAAACCAGCACUCUGUCCCCCUCCGCACACCUGAGGCCAGAGAUGCAAGUCAGCGGGUAUACAGAUGGGGUGGGUCGCAUCUGCACCAUUCACGAGACCGCAUGUGUUGCUGAGACACUAAAAACAUUGUCUUUUGAGCGUCUAGGCGCUUCAUAAACCCCUCCAUCUCUUGAACCCCUUUGCAGCACCUAGUUGGUUUUACAUCAAGGAAAACAUGGUCCCAGGCCCCAGUUCAGAGGCCCAGGGAAGGCAGGGAGCAGGGGGGUGGGGGGGGGGGGCAGGCAGGGGGAGGGAGGGCCCGGCAGCCACCUCCCCUGCCCCUGGGGUCCCUGCUCAGGGAAGUGGCUGGGAGCAGAGACAAGCUCUCAGAGAAGCAGGGAGGGGGGACGGGAGCCUCCCCCCAGUUCCUCUACAACGUAAAUCAGACUACCUCUACAGACAUGAAUGACCCCUUAACCUGGAGGUCCCCCAAUUUUCUGUGACGAAGAAACCCAGGCUGGUAUCUAAGUGACUACCCAUUGUGCUGUCUGGAGAAGUCCACUAUUUGGAACCAGGGCUUCCUUGGGACUCCUCCCAGCUCAAGUGCUCAACCUAAGGAUUAUCCCCACGCAAUUACUCAUGACAGUCCUGGCACCAUUAAAAGGACUUCUGAAAAACUGAAGCUGUGGUCACUACGUAUCCAAAGUCUGACAAUGUGAAUACCCUUUGACCCUGUAGCUCCCUCUUCGGAACUCAUCAUAAGGCUACAAAGGCACAGGCAUGCUGAUCACACCACUAGGAAACCUGAAGCAUCCAUUAAUAAAGUGUGGUGCACCCACACACAAAUCACGCUGCGUGACUCUUUGCUGAGAUGGAAAUAGACCUAAUAUCAAGUGCAAAAAGCAGAUUAUAAAUCAAGUACACAUUAUGAUCAUAAUUAAGUUUUUUUUAAAAAAGGUACAGAAGCACAGAAAAAGGAGUCACUUCAGGGUGAUUUAUAGUUACAGUCUUUCUGCUUCUGUGGGACCUAAUUGUAUUUUUAACUUAAAAAGAAACAGGGCACCUGGGUGGCUCAGUCGAUUGAAUGCCCAACUCCUGAUUUUGGUUCAGGUCAUAGUCUCAGGGUCAGGAUGAUGGAGCCCCACGUCGGGCUCACCAGGAGUCCAGGAUUUGGCUGGGGUUUCUCUCUCUCCCUCUGUUCCUCGCUCUCUACCCCCACCACCACCACUUGCACAUGCUCUCUCUUAAAUAAAUAAAUCUUUAAAAGAACAAAAAUAAAAAUAAAAAAAAGAACAACAACAAACAAACGUAAAUUACUUUUAAAAAUGGAUUUUCUGGUUGUCCUCUCCAAAUGCAGAAUAAGACUAAGACCUUGCCGUGUGGCGGGACAUUCAGGAGUGUUUGUUUUGCAACCAAAGUCAAAUCUCAAAAGGCCCAGGCGGUGCCAACAGAGGCAGGUCUGAAGAGCCGCCUAUGGAUGCAGAGCUACUGGCAGGUCCACUUAAUUAGUACAGAUUCAAAGCUAAUUACCAGGAACCAGCUCAGAGCUUCUCCCAGUCUCCUCUCGACAUCAAAGACACAGACUGCGCUCUAACCCCACCCAGGCGAGCAGCAGACCCCUCACAUGUUUGGGUGCACGGAGACCAUCCGUUCCUACCGUUCCCCUGGCUGGCUCUGCCCCGAGCAUCUACCCCACUGUUUCCUAACACAAUCCCACGGCUUUCCAGUCCACAGCACCUACUUCACCCCUCCCUGCAACUCCUAUUCACUGCCGACUUAGCCUUCUCCCCACCGAACUCGAGACAGGCACCCACCCUUACCAACACAGCCAUCUGCUCUGGUCAGCACAGAUUCUGUGUUUCAGGGUGCUCCUGGGUCAGCCAGCCUUACCAGGCCCUGUGCCCAUCAAGGAGAAAGGCGUCAACUGCUCUUUCCUCUACUCUCUGAGGUGAGAGGCAAGACAGAGAAGUCCUGUGUCAAGGUCUGAAAUAGGCCCCGGUGGGGUUAAGAAACCCUGAUCUUGUCCAGGUGAUGUAGAGCAUCCUUCCCUGCCUGCGACCCAGUCAGCACUGGGCUCCUGAGGCCACAGGCCUCGUGUGUGUUUCUCAGCUGACAGCACCAAGAGGCACCUCUCCCACUCAUCAAUCUGUGGGUGCUGACGUCCCCCAGCCUCUCAGCACUGCCCUCCGGGACUGGAUUACCGUCUGCGAGCCAGCAGAAGGCUGCCUCCAGCCAGUGCAGAGAACAUGGCCAAAAACAGCAGCGGGAUCAAGCCCGGGCCUCCCUGAGCGAGGGGAAAGCCCAGAUUCCCCAGAUGCCUGCCAUGCAGGUGAGCGCCAGCGGGGCCAAGCGUACCAUCUUCCCUCGCAGACAGUGCAGAUCCACGCGCAGGAAGCCCAACGUGGCCCUCGCCUCCCCUGCACCACUCUGGCAGAGGGGCAGGCUCCCCCUAAAGCUGACCCAAGUCAGAUAUCGACUGGAAUGUUCGACUGAGGAGGCAGAGAGAAUCCCCAACGCCUUUCCCCAGAGGCGAAUACCUGGCCACUGGGCUGGUCAGGAGCUCGUGAAACUGAAGCCCCAGGAAUGUCAUUAAAACGAAGCUACUCCAGGGUCCCCUGGGUGGCUCAGCAAUUGGGCGGCUGCCUUCAGCUCAGGUCGCGAUCCCGGGACCCCAGGAUUGAGUCCCACAUCAGGCUCCUUUGAAGAGCCUGCUUCUCCUCCUCCCUCUGCCUGUGUCUCUGUCUCGGUCUCUCUCUCUCUCAUGAAUAAAUGGAUAAAUCUUAAAAAAAAAAAAAAAAGAAAGAAAGCUACUCUGGGCACAAUGGACUUCUCAAAUACAUAAACUGAUGGUAUUUUGCUUUAUGUAAACUCAGCCCGAGAGGAGGACCCGGAUGUGCUCCCACAGGCAGACACCAUGUGUGUGAAACGAAUGGGGUAAAACAGGUUAGACUGUACAUCUACUGGAGAUAAAUGACAAUGCACAAAAAAGUCACUUUCCCUCCGAGAUCAGCUACACUGCAACCCAGCCCCGCAUCUCCCUCGGACCUUGGGGGACUUCUAUUCCCACAGCCAGAGUCCUGGAUGGUGACAGCACCAACCCAGGACCUUCCUGCUUAGGACCAUUUCCCCCUGAGAAGACAAAGAGGUUCUGAAGAUGGACGGUGCUGACGGUGCACUACGUUGUGAAUUUGCACUCAGGCCGCUCCACUGUACCCUCAACAAUGGUUACGGUGGUAAAUUCUGUUAGGUGUAUUUUGCCAAAAAUAAAAGGACAAUAAUGCAACAUGAAGAACACAUCUAGAAAAUGAUCUGGGAAGUCAUACUAGCAAGGAAGUGGGCUUCCUGUCCCUGUAGGGCCUCAGAGCACAUCCCCAAACAAUUCGGCCAGCCACCAAUGUCUGGGCUUCAUGGGCGCGGCAGGAGUCCCAGGACACCCUGCCCCCCAGCACUGCUGCCAUCGCCGGCAGUUCCCACUCAGGGCAUGAGUCAGGAAGGAGGCAGGCAGGCAGAGACACACGUAGACAGAGACAGAGACACAGGCAGCCGGAGCCCGGCAGAGAAGAGCAAGUCAGCAGGACAGAAUGAGUCAGCCGAUGGAGGAGGAAGUACUGGUCCCUAUGUUCCCCAAUGUUCCCCCCGGGGCACACACAGGACUCCGCAGGCGCCAAGAGCCAGGCCCCGGGCCUUCCCAGGCGCCGGGCGCGCCCGUGUGACCUCUGCUAGGCGCCCAUCGUACAUGUCACCCCCCCCCCCGGGGGCAGCCCACCCUGGCCCCUCUGCCCCCGCACAAGGCCAGGUGCACCAGCCCCAACCGGCCUGACACCCCGCCAUGGACGCCCCCAGCCCCGGGGACAGGCUGCCCUGGCCAGCCCCCACGGGCCACGGGGGAAGCACUGUGACACUCUGCAGGACCCGGACUUCUCCAGCACCGCUCCUCCCGCCUCCUGCCCAAGCCCACCCGGCCCAGCACUGGUCCCCUCUGUCCCCAGGGCAGCAGCAGGUGCUUACCACUUCAGAGUCAGAGAGGGCUGCGGGAGGAGGAAACAGGCUCUGGUGGGAUCUGGGACGCGGCUCCUUUUAUUGAAAAGUAACCCCCACAGGAAAGAUUUUACUUCAUUUUUUAAGGAAGAAGUUUCACUCUCCGUGUUCUCCUUCAGACCCGAGAUCUCCUGAGCAGGCGAACAAUACCGCAACCCGUUCUGGCUACAUCUACCUCCCUUGUUCUCCGGGUGAGGCCAGUGUUCCCUGUGGAAGGAGGCACCCCAGUUUUAAAGAGACAACUCAUAAAGAGGUAGGGCGGGCUCCAAGCACAAAGGUCCACAUUCCUGAAAAGCCUGCCAGCCAUAAAAUGAGUUAACACCUGAAUGUAUUAGAGCCUGAGCCGCCCAGGUCUCCCCUCCCCCAGCAGGGGCCAAAGGCCCGCCAGUAAAAAACAAAAACCACAGGGAUAAAAGAUCUCUUGGCGAAGACAGCCAAAACAAUUCCAUCUGUUAACAAAAACUAACUGUUGAAUUAAAGGUUGCAAGUUCAAACACAAUCUGGCUAUUGUAAACAGUGCCUCAGUUUAUCAAAGCAACAAUAACGCUCUUUCAGGGAUUGAUAGAGUUCUCCACAAAUACUCGCCCUCCAGCAUUUUUAAGAUACUUUGCAGGAUAAAUAUUAGCUUGAGACUUGCCUACAGGAGAAGUGAAAGCUGCCAAAGAAGCAGUUCUAAAAAAAAAAAAAAAAAAAAAAAGAGCGGCUUCAGCCAGAGGGCAGGGUAGCAAGCUGCCCGUGGCUGAUGGGAAGGAGACUGGGCCCUUGCCCUGCGUCGUUGAGCGCUGUGCCAAGGCCGGGCGGCCAAGCCCCUGGUACCCCACCCGUCCCGGGGCCGCCUAGGAGGGCAGGGCUGCAGCUCUGUCUCCAGAUCGGGGGCACAGCGCCAGGCACUCCACAAACAAACCACUUGGCAUACAAAAAGACCUGGAAAAUAGAGUUAAUUAAAAGGAGAGAUUUUAAGAUAAUUGUUGGGAUGGAAAAGAACAAGGAGCAUCAUAACUUCAAUCUGAUUUAAACUUAAUUUCCUGAAAGACAGUUACGUCGGCUGCGUAGCCUACUGUAGAAAGCCAGGGGAUAGCGGGCCCGGCCAUCAGCAGCUGGCCCCCAGGUGCCAGGCUGGGUGGGCAAGCGGCGUUUUUGUGCUGCCAAUACCCCAGCAGACAUCUGAAUAAGAUGCCACUUACCCUUCACUUCACCUGUGGGGCGGGGGGGGGGGAGCUUUUUAUUUUAACACAGUAGCUUGCAACUCAAUAGGAACUGGAAGCAAAGUCAGAACAAAGCCAGCCACCACAUAGGUGACACGCGGGUGACACACAAGUCUUUCCUCCCAGCAAGAGACCACUCAGGGAGACCGCUAGGUGUGGGGCUCUGCGCUGGGCGUGGGGCUCUGCGGAGCCAGGUGGGCGGGAGGGACUGAGCACCUGUGGAUCACAGCCUCGCCCACCACAAGCCCUGGGCUCUGGACCUUGACUCCCACCCCCUUAAUCUUUCAAGGCCACCCUCGGUUCUCGCACUCCUCUGAAACAGAGCAGUGUGUAAUGCUGCUCGAAACAAGUUCUGCUUCCUCCCAGGCCUGCAGUCGGCGGGGUGGAGUGACGGUCGGCGCGAUGUCCCCAAUCACUGAGGUCCUCAAUCACUAACUGGGUCUCUCGUGACUGCAGAUUCAGACGUUCAGCCCUCAUGUCCCCGUCUACAAUGGGAAUGACACCUCCAGAUCGUGCAGAGGACCAAGUAGUGCGAGGAUCACCACGGAGCCCAAACCCUGCAGGUUCUCGGCAAAGGGAGCAGCUGCCACCACCCUCAACCCUCUGCAGUAGGACCGUGGUUGCCUUUGCCUACGUCUGGAUAAGAUAGUCUUGAAAACUUCCUGGGUGGGGCCGCCUGGGUGGCUGAGUCUGUUAAGCCUAUGCCUUCAGCUCAGGUCAUGAUCCUUGGGUCCUGGGAUCGAGUCCUGUGUCGGCUUCUC